Molecule: ribosomal RNA, 1312 nt
Filed under: metagenome
Description: bacterial LSU rRNA
Rfam family: Bacterial large subunit ribosomal RNA
Source: RNAcentral
GUCCAUGCUUCCAAGAAAAGCAUCUAGAGAGAGAAGUAGUGCCCGUACCGCAAACCGACACAGGUAGAUGAGGAGAGAAUCCUAAGGCCGGCGGAAGAAUUGCAGUUAAGGAACUAGGCAAAUUGACCCCGUAAGUUAGCGAGAAGGGGUGCCUGCGAGAGCAGGCCGCAGAGAAUAGGCCCAAGCAACUGUUUAGCAAAAACACAGGUCUCUGCUAAAGCGCAAGCUGAUGUAUAGGGGCUGACGCCUGCCCGGUGCUGGAAGGUUAAGGGGAACACUUAGCGCAAGCGAAGGUGUGAACUUAAGCCCCAGUAAACGGCGGCCGUAACAAUAACGGUCCUAGGUAGCGAAAUUCCUUGUCAGGUAAGUUCUGACCCGCACGAAUGGCGUAAUGACUUGGGCACUGUCUCAACUGCAAAUCCGGCGAAGUUGUAGUGCGAGUGAAGAUGCUCGCUACCCGCGAUUGGACGGAAAGACCCCGUAGAGCUUUACUGUAGCUUAGCAUUGAAUUCCGGUAUUGUCUGUACAGGAUAGGUGGGAGACUGGGAAACUAGGGCGUCAGCCUUAGUGGAGUCGUCCUUGGGAUACCACCCUGACAGUACUGGGGUUCUAACAGGACGCCAUGAAUCUGGUGACUGGACAUUGUUAGGUGGGCAGUUUGACUGGGGCGGUCGCCUCCUAAAAAGUAACGGAGGCGCCCAAAGGUUCCCUCAGAACGGUCGGAAAUCGUUCGUAGAGUGCAAAGGCAGAAGGGAGCCUGACUGCGAGACCUACAAGUCGAGCAGGGACGAAAGUCGGGCUUAGUGAUCCGGUGGUACCUCGUGGGAGGGCCAUCGCUCAACGGAUAAAAGCUACCUCGGGGGUAACAGGCUGAUCUCCCCCAAGAGUCCACAUCGACGGGGAGGUUUGGCACCUCGAUGUCGGCUCGUCGCAUCCUGGGGCUGUAGUAGGUCCCAAGGGUUGGGCUGUUCGCCCAUUAAAGCGGCACGCGAGCUGGGUUCAGAACGUCGUGAGACAGUUCGGUCCCUAUCCGUCGCGGGCGUAGGAAAUUUGAGAGGAGCUGUCCUUAGUACGAGAGGACCGGGAUGGACUGACCUCUGGUGCACCAGUUGUUCUGCCAAGAGCAUGGCUGGGUAGCUAAGUCGGGAAGGGAUAAACGCUGAAAGCAUCUAAGCGUGAAGCCUCCCUCAAGAUGAGAUUUCCCAUAGCAUAAGCUAGUAAGACCCCUUGAAGAACACGAGGUUGAUAGGUCAGAGGUGUAAGUGUGGUAACAUAUUUAGCUGACUGAUACUAAUAGGUCGAGGGCUUGACC